CCGACGUCUCGGAAACAGUGCUAGUUUUUGUCGAUCAAGUGUCACAAACUGUCAAAAUUUCUUAUUAUUUUCCUAAUAAUAUAUUAAUCCAGCCAAAAAUUAGCUGUGAAAGCGGAGGCAUAAAGUGUACCCAAUCUUUAUUACGUUAUUAAAUAAAUAGAAAUCAUGUUUUUCUUUUUGAGUGUAUCCUCAAAACGUAUCCUCUAAACAUGGAUGAUAUGAUUCUCAACGAUAAAACAUUAAUCGACCAGACAUUAACUAGUGGCUGACGAGCUAAUAACUCGGGACUGACCAGCCUAUAACUAGCAGCUGACCAGCUCAUAACUAGCGGCUGACCAGUCUAUGUCUAGCGACUGACCAGCCCCUGUCUAGCAGCUGACCAGACAGUCUGGCCUGGGGCUACCCAGAAAAAACGUUACACUUUUGGCCAGGCCCAGGCCAUACCAUCUGUUCAGCGCCAGGACUGGAAACCUGGCGGUAUGGUCUGGGCCAGGCCAGCGCCAGAACAUUUUUCCACACGGGGUGCACCAGGUCUCGCCCCAGGUAUCUUAGUUCUGAAUACAUACAUUUCCUCUCAAAUCUCUAAGAAGGAAACAUCAUAUGAAAUUAUUCAGAAAUGAUCUCAGACUAAUUAAUGAUUUGACAGACCACUGACUAUGGAAUUCAGAUAGUAUCAAUAACGUUGAUUGCUAUAUUUACUGUUGACUAAAAUCUGAGCUGUGGAAUCAAAAGCAUAACUGACGUCGCUCGUAGAGCAGCUGAUGAUAAGAACAUAGCAUAGGAUUCAUAGUGUGAGAGAUUCUGACAUGAGUGAGAAAUCGCCGAUGAUUCAAGGCAAUGACUCGCAUAACGAUUGGUUGUAAGCGAGAAUUCCUGGACGGUUAAACGCCGUUCCUUCGCUUGCUGCCGUCACUGGUGAGGUGAGGUCAUACGAAAACUUUAUGCUCCUACAGCAGACUCGAAGGAAAUAUUUCCUAUUAUUACUAUUACCUUAUUUAAGUUCCAGCAGUAAACAAGAAGAGUCUACAAAUUUUGAUGUUUCUCUUUCUAUCUUUUAAGAACCUUCGGGAUUUGUAAUUUUCAUGGAGUAAGCGUAGAUGAUAUAAUUUAUUACCGUGUUUAUUAAAACAUUUAUUGUUGUACUAUUGUUCCAUUUUGACCAAACAUCAGUCGUUUAAGAAAGGAAUAUGAUGAUUAAAACUUGAAGAGUAUAUUUUAAGGGUAUCAAGUGUCGUAUUCUAAUUUUAACAAUUAUAUAACUUGAAGCAUUCCAAAUGAUAGU
Molecule: long non-coding RNA, 1282 nt
Organism: Belonocnema kinseyi
Lineage: Eukaryota; Metazoa; Arthropoda; Insecta; Hymenoptera; Cynipidae
Exons: 3
Source: RefSeq, a predicted model, not a curated record